This 66-nucleotide transfer RNA is filed under the name human gut metagenome. It matches the Rfam family "tRNA". Rfam says of the family: Transfer RNA (tRNA) molecules are approximately 80 nucleotides in length. Their secondary structure includes four short double-helical elements and three loops (D, anti-codon, and T loops). The record is from RNAcentral.
GGUGUAGCCAAGCGGUAAGGCACCGGAUUUUGAUUCCGGCAUUUCGUAGGUUCAAAUCCUGCCACC